AGCAGCAAUUGCAAUCUAAAAUACUACUCUGCAAAAAACAUUUCAUGUAUUUUCAGGAAUUUAUUGUUCAUUUACAGUCUAAGUUAACUGACUGUGGUGCUCAGCACUACACAGGUGACUCAGUUUUCCUCCUUGCUCCUUCAGAAACAAGCUAGUUAAAAAGCUUCCUGGUCAGCCUGUGAAAGAUGCACUGCAAUGACUACAUAAAAUGCUACUGAGAUUAUCGGAAGAGCAAAC
Lepidothrix coronata (blue-crowned manakin) is the source of this 237-nucleotide long non-coding RNA. RefSeq lists it as uncharacterized. The record is from RefSeq and is a predicted model, not a curated record. The transcript has 3 exons. Lineage: Eukaryota; Metazoa; Chordata; Aves; Passeriformes; Pipridae.